This 508-nucleotide ribosomal RNA is filed under the name uncultured bacterium. RNAcentral describes it as "partial 16S ribosomal RNA". It matches the Rfam family "Bacterial small subunit ribosomal RNA", at positions 30 to 523 of the family's 1533-position model. The record is from RNAcentral.
AUUGAACGCUGGCGGCAUGCCUUACACAUGCAAGUCGAACGGCAGCGGGGGAGAAGCUUGCUUUUCCUGCCGGCGAGUGGCGAACGGGCGAGUAAUACAUCGGAACGUGCCCUGUAGUGGGGGAUAACUAGUCGAAAGAUUAGCUAAUACCGCAUACGACCUGAGGGUGAAAGGGGGGGACCGCAAGGCCUCAUGCUAUAGGAGCGGCCGAUGUCUGAUUAGCUAGUUGGUGGGGUAAAGGCCUACCAAGGCGACGAUCAGUAGCUGGUCUGAGAGGACGAUCAGCCACACUGGGACUGAGACACGGCCCAGACUCCUACGGGAGGCAGCAGUGGGGAAUUUUGGACAAUGGGCGAAAGCCUGAUCCAGCAAUGCCGCGUGUGUGAAGAAGGCCUUCGGGUUGUAAAGCACUUUUGUCCGGAAAGAAAUGGCUCUGGUUAAUACCUGGGGUCGAUGACGGUACCGGAAGAAUAGGGACCGGCUAACUACGUGCCAGCCGCCGCAGUAA